AUACAAAAAUUAGCUGUCUGUGGUGUCACAUGCCUGUAGUCCCAGCUACUCGGGAGGCUAAGGCAGGAGACUAACUUGAACCUGGAAGAUGGAGGUUGCAAUGAGCCAAGAUUGCCCCACUGCACCCCCAGCCUGGGCAACAGAGUGAAACUUUGUCUCAAAAAAAAAAAAAAAAAAAGAAAAGAAAAGAAAAAAAGAAAGAAAGAAGCAAGGGCUCAGGAAAUGCACAGAUCUGGGGGAAGAACAUUCCAGGCAGAGGGACAGGCAAUGAGACUAAUGUGACUGGGUAAACUGCGCAAGGAGGAGAGUGAUGAAUGAUGGGUUCACAGAGGUAGCCAGACACUUCAUCAUGUUUGAUCCUGAGGAGGUUUGGAGGCUCUGCAAAGAAGUUUGAAUUUUAUUUCAAGUGGUACAGGAAGACAUUAGUGGAGUUAGAGCAGACGAGUGCAUUUUUUUCCUUAUUUGUUAAUAAACAUAUAAAAUUGUUCCAACUCAGACAGAUAAAAAUUAAAACCAAAAUGAAAUAUCAAAAAAUUUUAAGACUGGACACUGAAAUGGUGCAGUUAGAUGGACACUUGUCCAUGUCUGGAGGAAAUACAUCUGCUUACUAAAUCAAUAAAUAGUCAUUGAGCAUCCAUCAUGAGCCAUGAGCCAGAUAAUGUUUUGUUUUGUUCUUUUUUUAGAGACAGGGUCUCACUCUGUCACCCAGGCUGAAGUGCAGCCAUAUGUCAAACUUCUGGCUUCAAGCAAUCCCCACCUCUUCACCUCCCAAAGUGCUGGAAUUACAGGCAUAAACCACCAUGCCCUUCCAAGCCAGAUAAUCUUUGGGGGGUUUGGGGAGGCAGCAACAGACAAAAGAGACAAGGGAUCUGUGUUCAGAAGGUAGAGCAAAAAAUGUUCUCUCAGUCUAUUUUAUAUUUGUUAAACAAUAAGCAAUAUACUUUACUAUCAAAAACAGUAAUGGGGUGGUCUGAGUGCAGUGGUGUUUACAACUAAUUGAUCACAAUGAGUUACAGAUUAUUUUGUUCCUUCUCCAUUAUGACUGCUUCCCUUGACUAGCCUUACUAAAAAGAAAAUAGGAAAACUAUUAUUACUUUUAUUCAGCAUUGUUACUAUAUAUCAUAACCAAAGCAAUAAGAUAAGAAAAAUAAAUAAAAGGCAUAGGAUGAAGAAGGGGAAAGUCAAAGCAUAUUAAUGAAAGAUACAUUUAAAACCAACAAAAAUAUAAAGCGCAUAGGAAAAAUUAUAACUUUUUUUCAGUGACAUGAAAGAACAUCAGACUAGAUGGAGAGAGACACCACAGUUUUGGGCAGAAAGAUGCAAUGUCAUAAGCAUGUCAGUUAUUCCUAGACUGGGUUAUAACAUUCAGUGGGAUACCAAUCAAAACCCCUGAAGGUAUUCGAGGAGCUUGGAUUAAGAAUUACCUUGACCUGGCUGGGAGCUGUGGCUCAGGCCUGUAAUCCCAGCACUUUGGGAGGCUGAGGCAGGCGAAUGAGGAGUUUGAGACCAGCCUGGCCAACAUGGUGAAACCCCGUCUCUACUAAGAGUACAAAAAAUUAGCUGGGCAUGGUGGCAAAUGCUUGUAAUCCCAGCUACUUGGGAGCUGAGGCAGGAGAAUUGCUUGAACCCGGGAGGUGGAGGUUGCAGUUAGCCAAGAUUGUGCCAUUGCACUCCAGCCUGGGCAAGAAGAGCAAAACUCUGUCUCAAAAAAAAAAAACCAAAAAACGAAUAGCCUUGACCCAUGAGAAGAGGAAGAUAAGAUGAUGAAGGAUGAAAUAUCCUGCCAGAUAUCAAGACUUGUAGGCCGGGCGCGGUGGCUCAUGCCUGUAAUCCCAGCUCUUUGGGAGGCCAAGGCGGGUGGAUCACGAGGU
RNAcentral lists this long non-coding RNA (1871 nucleotides) under Homo sapiens (human). RNAcentral's name for it is "HSALNT0049131". The stretch from base 964 to 1065 matches the Rfam family "Y RNA". The record is from RNAcentral. Lineage: Eukaryota; Metazoa; Chordata; Mammalia; Primates; Hominidae.